This 414-nucleotide ribosomal RNA is filed under the name uncultured bacterium. Its description in RNAcentral is "partial 16S ribosomal RNA". It matches the Rfam family "Bacterial small subunit ribosomal RNA", at positions 202 to 614 of the family's 1533-position model. The record is from RNAcentral.
UAAGMCCUCGCGUUAUUGGAGCGGCCGAUGUCGGAUUAGCUAGUUGGUVMVGUAAAGGCUCACCAAGGCGACGAUCCGUAGCUGGUCUGAGAGGACGACCAGCCACACUGSGACUGAGACACGGCCCAGACUCCUACGGGAGGCAGCAGUGGSGAAUUUUGGACAAUGGGGGMMMMCCUGAUCCAGCCAUGCCGCGUGAGUGAAGAAGGCCUUCGGGUUGUAAAGCUCUUUCGCAAGGAAAGAAAUCCUAUCCUCUMACAUAGGGUGGGGAUGACGGUACCUUGAUAAGAAGCACCGGCUAACUACGUGCCAGCAGCCGCGGUAAUACGUAGGGUGCGAGCVUUAAUCGGAAUUACUGGGCVUAAAGCGUGCGCAGGCGSHUUUGUMASUCAGAUSUGAAUCCCCGGCUCRACC